This 515-nucleotide ribosomal RNA is filed under the name uncultured bacterium. Its description in RNAcentral is "partial 16S ribosomal RNA". It matches the Rfam family "Bacterial small subunit ribosomal RNA", at positions 28 to 523 of the family's 1533-position model. The record is from RNAcentral.
GAUGAACGCUGGCGGCGUGCCUAAUACAUGCAAGUCGAGCGAAUGGAUUAAGAGCUUGCUCUUAUGAAGUUAGCGGCGGACGGGUGAGUAACACGUGGGUAACCUGCCCAUAAGACUGGGAUAACUCCGGGAAACCGGGGCUAAUACCGGAUAACAUUUUGAACCGCACGGUUCGAAAUUGAAAGGCGGCUUCGGCUGUCACUUAUGGAUGGACCCGCGUCGCAUUAGCUAGUUGGUGAGGUAACGGCUCACCAAGGCAACGAUGCGUAGCCGACCGGAGAGGGUGAUCGGCAACACUGGGACUGAGACACGGCCCAGACUCCUACGGGAGGCAGCAGUAGGGAAUCUUCCGCAAUGGACGAAAGUCUGACGGAGCAACGCCGCGUGAGUGAUGAAGGCUUUCGGGUCGUAAAACUCUGUUGUUAGGGAAGAACAAGUGCUAGUUGAAUAAGCUGGCACCUUGACGGUACCUAACCAGAAAGCCACGGCUAACUACGUGCCAGCCGCCGCGGUAA